GGGAGUUAUUGAGUUUAACAGUCACUCCUUACCUGGCUUUUCUCUAAGCUAGAAAGGGGGACUUUUGUUCUAUCAUCUUCUGGGAAUAGACUAAUCUUGAGGAAAGAUUAGGAAAGUCCUGGGUGUGGAGAACUGCCUUGGAUAUCUGUCUUUCCCUGAAGUUCUGAGACCAGUCUGGCUGAGACAACUUUGUUAAGAAGAGAAGAGAUGGCCAAACCAUUAUGACUCAUUUCACAGAACAAGGAUUGAAGCAUAUGGAAAGUAAUUACAUUCAAAAUAUGCUAGAAAGUGAUUUCAUGAAUAAAGAUACAUCCCUCUCUACUCAAACUGACAGGCAGAGGCAAAAGAGCCAAAACAGAAACUGCGUGUUCAGGAUUGUCGUCGUCUGGUCAGCAUGCCACUCUUGCCUGCCGUCGAUCUUGACUGUAGUCCUGUGUUCUUCAAUUCAGGAACAAACUGGAACAAUCAGGAACAUACUGGAAUAAUCAGGAACAUGCAUGCAUGUAAGGUUUUUACAAGUGCAUGUAUAUAAGACUAAAAUUUUCAUUGUGCAUGGAAGUAAGCUAUGAGUUCUUCAUGAGUGCUUGUCAGAAUUCAUCAGUUAUUUUUCAUGUGUGGAAGUGAGCAUUACGUGAGUUUAUCUUCAUGAGUGGAAGUUAUGUUAAUCUUAUGUUAAUAUGUUAAUCUUCAUGGAUGGGUGUAAGCAGUAUAGGUUCUUAGAUUUAUUGUUAAGAAUAUGAAUUUGAAGUUUUCUUAUCUUUUUGCUGUGUAAGUUUUUCACAAGGAGAUUUAUUGUAUGUUGUCUUUAGCUAUGUCUUGGAGAUAGAAUUUAGAUAUAAUGUAAUUCGUUUGGUCAUGGAGUAUGUUUUCAUUUGAAAUAAUCUUGUUACUUUCUUUGCUGUUAUUAUUGUAGGCAGAGAGUUUGUAUAGAAUAUGUAGAUAUUUUUCUAUGGCUUCUAAUCUUUUAAAUGCAUAUUUCUUUUACUCUGUUUUACUGGCUUUUGAAGUGCUUUCCUUUCAUAGUUUCCAUUCAUAGGCUGUCAUUUUAACAUGUGCAAUGCUCUCUUACCUGUACUAUCUGUUGAUAAGUAGUCUUGUGUGCUUUUCUUUAUUUUCCAUUCACAGGCUUUCAUUCACAAGGACUGUUAGUGAUUUCUUCUAGGGCAAUUCGUGUUGCUUCUUAUGACUAGGGAUGGUUUUUUUAUAUCAGAUGUCAUUUGCAUGUAUCUUCAUUGAUGACAUGAUCACAUUGUUGUUUCUUGUGAGGUAUCUGAAACUAUGAGGUGAUAUCUUCCUGGUAUACCCUCCCUCUCUUCCUUCCCCUGGUAGAGACUGUUAAGGAUGAAGGCUGAGAGAUACGAAUAACCCUUUUCAGUUCUCA
This 1381-nucleotide long non-coding RNA is filed under the name Monodelphis domestica (gray short-tailed opossum). RNAcentral describes it as "lncRNA (ENSMODG00000033463.2)". Lineage: Eukaryota; Metazoa; Chordata; Mammalia; Didelphimorphia; Didelphidae. The record is from RNAcentral.